Molecule: ribosomal RNA, 408 nt
Filed under: uncultured bacterium
Lineage: Bacteria
Description: partial 16S ribosomal RNA
Rfam family: Bacterial small subunit ribosomal RNA
Source: RNAcentral
GACGAACGCUGGCGGCGUGCUUAACACAUGCAAGUCGACAUGAGUGGCGAACGGGUGAGUAAUACGUGGGUAACCUGCCCUCCUUUUUGGGAUAAGCCUUGGCAACGGGGUAUAAUACCGAAUAAAGGGGGAUGGGCUCGCGGCCUAUCGGCGUGUUGGUGGGGUGAUGGGCUACCAAGGCGGUGACGGGUGGCCGGCCUGAGAGGGUGACCGGCGACAUGGGAACGGCGAUACGGCCCAGGGUCGGACGAGAGGGAGCAGUGGGGGCUAUUGCACAAUGGGCGAAAGCCUGAUGCAGCGACGCCGCGUGGGGGAUGAAGGUUUUCGGGUUGUAAACUUCUGUCGCUAUCGAGCGGGUAGCUGGAGAAGAAGCGCCGGCUAACUACGUGCCAGCAGCCGCGGUAAUUC